AGGCGGCGUGCUUAACACAUGCAAGUCGAACGUGAGAGGUAGCAAUAUCUUGAAAGUGGCGAACGGGUGAGUAACACGUAGGUGACCUGCCUCGGAGUGGGGGAUAACAGUUAGAAAUGACUGCUAAUACCGCAUGAAUCCACGGGAUUGGGAAAUUCGGUGGAGAAAACUCUGGUGCUUCGAGAGGGGCCUGCGGUCGAUUAGCUAGUUGGUGGGGUAACGGCCCACCAAGGCGACGAUCGAUAGCUGGUCUGAGAGGACGAUCAGCCACACGGGAACUGAGACACGGUCCCGACUCCUACGGGGGGCAGCAGUGAGGAAUAUUGGGCAAUGGGCGGAAGCCUGACCCAGCAACGCCGCGUGGAGGAAUGAAGGCCUUCGGGUUGUAAACUCCUUUUGCAGGGGAAGAGGAAGGACGGUACCCUGCGAAUAAGUCACGGCUAACUACGUGCCAGCAGCCGCGGUAAUACGUAGGUGACGAGCGUUAUCCGGAAUUACUGGGCGUAAAGCGCA
This 513-nucleotide ribosomal RNA is filed under the name uncultured bacterium. Its description in RNAcentral is "bacterial SSU rRNA". It matches the Rfam family "Bacterial small subunit ribosomal RNA", at positions 37 to 569 of the family's 1533-position model. The record is from RNAcentral.